CUUUAUUUAUUCACACACAGCGCCAACAUUUGGGAACAAGGAUGCGCUGAUAGACGAAAAGAGGGGAAAUACACGUACUGUAUAAAGUUAUCAAUAAGUUUUACUUUUACAUCUCAGAGCACAUAACCGUGGGGAUGCGUUCAAGGACAAUGCAACAUGAUUCCACGUCCACAUUGUAUACCACAGGGUGCUGCCAUAAAGGAAUAAAAGGCUGGGGACGAAAAACAGAGAGGCGGCGGCGGUGGCAAAGCACGCAGCAGGAAUGACAACAUUGCGGCUGUCAUCACCGGCGGAUGAAAAACAGCACCUCUCAAAUGAGGCGAGGCUGCGGAUGACUCUUGCGCCGAUGAGGAAGUGGAUGCACGGGGAGCACAAAUCCGGCGAUGGAUGCAGAGUGGAAAACGUUCUCCCAUUUUGUGUGGAAGUGCCAACGAUGGAUGCAGAGUGGAAAAUGUUCUCCUAUUUCGUGUGGAAGUGGUAAGUUUGUUUCUUCUUUCUUUUCCAUUUGAAAGCUACAACAGGGUAUUAGGGCCACAUUGACAAGUCAUAAUAAUCUCAGAGUUCGAGUUGUAAAGAAGUUUACAAGAAUAAAGUUGUAAAUUUACAAGAAUAUAUUUGUAAAUAUGGCUGGAAAAAAGUUGGAUUUACGAGAAGUUGUACUUUUUUUAAUUAUUUGCUUUUAAAUUAACUACUUUUUUCCUCAAACUUUAUA
Non-coding RNA from Doryrhamphus excisus (bluestripe pipefish), 712 nucleotides. NCBI's taxonomy places the organism in Eukaryota, Metazoa, Chordata, Actinopteri, Syngnathiformes, Syngnathidae. The record is from RefSeq and is a predicted model, not a curated record.